GUAAAAAAAGUCCCCAUAUAAACAAUGAGCAACGGUGGUGGUGCCGGGGGAUUGGGCGCGGCGCGUCCACCUCCACGAAUCGAUGGAAUGGUCUCGCUUAAGGUUGACAAUCUCACAUAUCGCACCACGCCGGAGGAUCUGCGUCGGGUCUUCGAGCGAUGCGGCGAGGUGGGAGACAUCUACAUACCCAGGGAUCGCUACACACGUGAGAGCCGCGGAUUCGCCUUUGUUCGCUUCUACGACAAACGGGAUGCCGAGGACGCACUGGAGGCCAUGGAUGGUCGCAUGCUAGACGGCAGGGAGCUCCGGGUCCAGAUGGCCCGCUACGGUCGCCCCUCUUCGCCCACUCGCAGUUCCAGUGGUCGUCGUGGAGGAGGAGGCGGUGGUGGAUCCGGCGGACGUCGUCGCUCACGAUCUCGCUCUCCAAUGCGCCGCCGUUCGCGCAGUCCGCGUCGCCGCUCCUACUCUCGUUCCCGCUCGCCUGGUAGCCAUUCGCCCGAACGUCGAUCCAAGUUUUCGCGCAGUCCAGUACGCGGCGACAGCCGCAAUGGAAUCGGGAGCGGAUCUGGCGGACUGGCCGCAGCUGCGUCUCGUAGUCGCAGUCGCUCCUAGAUAUCGACUUAACGUUCCAACUAGUGGGAGUGCGAGAUAUGACUCGCUGACUAGGCCGGAUUUGGUAUCCUGUUCCGGAUCUGUGGCUCGAUCUGUGUCAUGCUGUACCCGAACAGCAGGCAAAUGGUGUGUGGCAGUUGUUGCGGUUCAGAUAAGAUUGUGGUUAAAUCGCUCGCGAUUGAGGACCAGCAGCAGCGCAUCAUCUAAGCUACAACUCCUUCCUCCCGGAAGCGGACAUCGCGUGGCUCCUGUUUGUUGCUGCUGCUGCUGCU
This 884-nucleotide unclassified non-coding RNA is filed under the name Drosophila erecta. RNAcentral's name for it is "GG10262". The record is from RNAcentral. Lineage: Eukaryota; Metazoa; Arthropoda; Insecta; Diptera; Drosophilidae.